Rhinichthys klamathensis goyatoka is the source of this 149-nucleotide long non-coding RNA. RefSeq lists it as uncharacterized. Lineage: Eukaryota; Metazoa; Chordata; Actinopteri; Cypriniformes; Leuciscidae. The transcript is spliced from 3 exons. The record is from RefSeq and is a predicted model, not a curated record.
AUUGUAUAUUUGAAGGAGAUCCCACAAAAUAUUCCAGUGAAUUACCAGAUACAAACGAAACAGGUUCUUCAAGUGAAGAAUCUAAAGCCAGCUCUGAUUAAAGUGUACGAUUACUACCAAACAAGUGAUCAGUCAGAGGCCGAGUAGUU